UUCUGUUCAUGAUUCAAGUUUUUUUUUGUACAAUUGAUUGUUCUAUUUAUGAUUUUGCUACAUCCUUUUGCCAAUAGAAACCCAAAAUUUUCUUCGUUGAAGAUUUGUACUUUUUUUUCACGUCCAAGUUUUGCCGGUUGCCUUGCCUUUGUUAUAUAUAUUAGCGAUGGAUUGACAAAGGUGGGACUCAAACUUGAGACCUUACCUCUCUUGCUUUUUUGCAAGAGUACCAUUAAGCUACAAGCUCAUUGGUAUGAUUUCAUGCUUUGUUUAUAAGGGCUUGUUGAUUUUUUUUCCGACAAACAAAGUUGGAUCUCUCUGAAUGCUGAUAGGAACAAAAUUCAAUGGUUACUCUAGAAAACACAAGAUCAUCUUUUUUGGUGAAUAACAUCAAUAUUUGGAAUCUUAAGUCCAGUACUCCAGUCAAAGUUGGAUCUCUCUCUCUCUCUAUCUUUGUCUGUGUGUUUGCUAAAUUCACCUGUUACUUAUUCUACUUUCAUGGUUUAGUAACUUUGCUGUUGUUUCUCUCUUUCUCUAUGUAUUUGUUAAAAUCUCAUAGAGAUUCUACAACUAGUUUCUUUAACCAUGCCCUUUUGGUACAUUAGGUUGUCGCCUUUUGUUUAUAUGAUCAUAUUAUUGAGGUUUAAUUGGAUGUGGUUAUGGUCCUACAGGUAAGAAUGAUUACCCAGGAGUUUUCCCGAGAAGUUAACCGUUGGACUGCCGAAGCUUUAGUUGCAGUUCAGGAGGCAGCAGAGGAUUUUUUUGGUUCAUCUGUUUGAAGAUGGCAUGCUCUGUGCAAUUCAUGCAAAACGCGUUACAUUAAUGAAAAAGGAUUUUGAGCUGGCUCGGCGGCUUGGAGGGAAGGGACAACUUUGGUGAGAGUAUGACAGUAAAAGAGCAUCCCUUAUUGUAACCACCUUGUUAUGUAAUUAUGCGGUUGUUCUUUGGCAGCCAUCGCUUUCUAGCUGUUUAGCAGGUGUAGUGGUAUACAAUUAGGAAGUAAGAAGCAGUCUCGAUCCUCUUCACACCAUUUGCAAUGUGGCAGCGUCUAGAAAUUUAUGAACACAGAAAAUUUGUGGUCCAUGAUAUUUUAGACUAUAGAGAAGGUAGAUCCCAUGUCAAAGUUUCCUUGGAAUCCACAAAUCAUACUAGGGUUAGAAGUGGCCAUUUAUUUUACUGUAAGCAUGUCCAGCACCCAUAUUUACUCCUGCUACUGUCAGGAUUUAUUAUUAUUGAAAAUGCUUGUUUUGAA
Long non-coding RNA from Populus trichocarpa (black cottonwood), 1252 nucleotides. RefSeq lists it as uncharacterized. Lineage: Eukaryota; Viridiplantae; Streptophyta; Magnoliopsida; Malpighiales; Salicaceae. The record is from RefSeq and is a predicted model, not a curated record. The transcript has 3 exons.